This 83-nucleotide transfer RNA is filed under the name Zygosaccharomyces rouxii. RNAcentral's name for it is "tRNA-Leu". It matches the Rfam family "tRNA". From Rfam's summary of the family: Transfer RNA (tRNA) molecules are approximately 80 nucleotides in length. Their secondary structure includes four short double-helical elements and three loops (D, anti-codon, and T loops). The record is from RNAcentral. Lineage: Eukaryota; Fungi; Ascomycota; Saccharomycetes; Saccharomycetales; Saccharomycetaceae.
GAGAGUUUGGCCGAGUGGUUAAGGCGUCAGAUUUAGGUUCUCUGAUAUCUACGGAUGCAAGGGUUCGAAUCCCUUAGCUCUCA